GUAGGGAAUCUUCCACAAUGGGCGCAAGCCUGAUGGAGCAACGCCGCGUGAGUGAAGAAGGUCUUCGGAUCGUAAAACUCUGUUGUUAGAGAAGAACAUGCAGGAGAGUAACUGUUCUUGUAUUGACGGUAUCUAACCAGAAAGCCACGGCUAACUACGCGCCAG
RNAcentral lists this ribosomal RNA (165 nucleotides) under uncultured bacterium. Its description in RNAcentral is "partial 16S rRNA". It matches the Rfam family "Bacterial small subunit ribosomal RNA", at positions 354 to 511 of the family's 1533-position model. The record is from RNAcentral.